UAGAUUGAAGCCAGUUGUGUAGGGUGUUUAGCUGUUAACUAAAGUUUUGUGGGAUCAAAGCCCACCAAUCUAG
This 73-nucleotide transfer RNA is filed under the name Dobsonia sp. 050810x2F. RNAcentral describes it as "tRNA-Asn". It matches the Rfam family "tRNA". Rfam says of the family: Transfer RNA (tRNA) molecules are approximately 80 nucleotides in length. Their secondary structure includes four short double-helical elements and three loops (D, anti-codon, and T loops). Lineage: Eukaryota; Metazoa; Chordata; Mammalia; Chiroptera; Pteropodidae. The record is from RNAcentral.